This 339-nucleotide long non-coding RNA is filed under the name Carica papaya (papaya). RNAcentral describes it as "long non-coding RNA (CPAP_LNC004115)". Lineage: Eukaryota; Viridiplantae; Streptophyta; Magnoliopsida; Brassicales; Caricaceae. The record is from RNAcentral.
UUAAUAUUUUCUAAAUAAAUUCUUAACACUAAUAGUUUACGUGAUACCAUUAGACGAAUGUCUGAAUGAACAAUAUACACACACACUUUUAGAAAGCCUGACCGCCAUCAUCUCCUUCCCCUCAUCUCACUCGUCUAAUGGUAGCCAUCCGAGGAAGCCAAGGUGGAGCGGCUGGAUUUGCAGCUGACAUCUUCAUCUUCAUCCCUUGCUGUGUCUUUAUCUUUGGUAGCUGUCGAUCUGAACCAUCCACCUCGACUUCCUCGGACAGCCAUCACCAUCACCAUCAGACAAGUGAGAGAAUGAGGAAAUGAUGUUAGUCAGUUUUUUUCAAUAGUGUAU